This 534-nucleotide long non-coding RNA is filed under the name Salmo salar (Atlantic salmon). Its description in RNAcentral is "lncRNA (ENSSSAG00000090979.1)". The record is from RNAcentral. Lineage: Eukaryota; Metazoa; Chordata; Actinopteri; Salmoniformes; Salmonidae.
CUGGUUAAAGACCAGUAUCUCCAACCCUAUCAAAAUCUAAUAAUUCGAUGCAGAAAAACACAACUUUCCACAAUAAUUUGGACAAGUAUGAACCAUCCUCCAAAUCACACUCUUGAGUGCACUUUGAAGACCCAUUUAUGCAUCACAGAACGUAUGUCUGACACAGAACGUAUAACGUAUGUCUGACACAGAACGUAUGUCUGACACCUAACACAGAACGUAUGUCUGACACAGAACGUAUGUCUGACACCUAACACAGAACGUAUGUCUAACACAGAACGUAUGUCUGACACAGAACGUAUGUCUGACACAGAAAGUAUAACGUACGUCUGACACAGAACGUAUGUCUGACACCUGACACAGAACGUAUGUCUGACACCUAACACAGAACGUAUGUCUGACACCUAACACAGAACGUAUGUCUGACACAGAACAUAUGUCUGACACCUAACACAGAACGUAUCUCUGACACCUGACACAGAACGUAUGUCUGACACCUGACACAGAAUGUAUGUCUGACACCUGACACAGAAC